GAUGAAGAACGUAGCGAAAUGCGAUAAGUAAUGUGAAUUGCAGAGUUCAGUGAAUCAUCGAAUCUUUGAACGCACAUUGCGCCCCUUGGUAUUCCGAGGGGCAUGCCUGUUCGAGCGUCAUUAUAACCCCUCAAGCUCAGCUUGGUGUUGGGGCCUGCUGCACUGGCAGCCCUUAAAAUCAGUGGCGGCGCCAUCUGGCUCUAAGCGUAGUAAUUCUUCUCGCUAUGGAGUCCUGGUGGAUGCUUGCCAUCAACCCCCAAUUUUUCUAUGGUUGACCUCGGAUCAGGUAGGGAUACCCGCUGAACUUAAGCAUAUCAAUAAGCGGAGGA
Molecule: unclassified non-coding RNA, 329 nt
Filed under: soil metagenome
Description: partial contains 5.8S ribosomal RNA, internal transcribed spacer 2, and large subunit ribosomal RNA
Rfam family: 5.8S ribosomal RNA (bases 1-120)
Source: RNAcentral